Vollenhovia emeryi is the source of this 2665-nucleotide RNA transcript. RefSeq lists it as uncharacterized. The record is from RefSeq and is a predicted model, not a curated record. NCBI's taxonomy places the organism in Eukaryota, Metazoa, Arthropoda, Insecta, Hymenoptera, Formicidae. The transcript has 4 exons.
UUCGGUCUUCAAGUCGUAUUAGAAAAACAUUGCCAUUGAAUAGAAUACACAUAUUUGUUAACAUAUUUUUUUUCUUUUCGCAAAAUACUCAAUAUUUAUAGAGUUAUAGCAAAUUAAAAAUGCAAUUCACUGACUUGUGAUUCAAACGCUCCGGAAUCACCCGAGUUUACCCGAACUCGCUCGUGACGUCACGGGGUUGUUGCCGAAAGCAACAGUACGCGUAAUACAUGGUACGUAAUACAUGUUCGCUUGUAUUCGCUUACUUUUUACUUGUAUUAAGAAAAAUGAGCAAACCGACGGGUUAUCGGUGGUGUUUUGUGCCUAUGUGCAAACACACAAGCAAAAAUUCACCUAGUAAAGUUUUCGUGACAGUGCCACGGGACGAAAACAAACGGAGGUUAUGGUUUCGGGUAGCACGACGGCCUGAUGAACCAACACAAUCAAACUACUUUUGUUGUGAGGAUCAUUUUGACCUAAAAAACGAUAUGGAUAAUUAUGUGCGCUUCUGUUUAAUGGGUGGACCAAUAAAACUGAAAUCUGGAGUUGUGCCACACAUUUUUACUUGUCAACCUGACAGGAAGCGAACAGCAAAUUAUCCCCCUCGUCUUGCUUCUGAAAAGCGAAGACGUAAAGCAGAGAUUUCUGAUAUUUUGGCUAUUGCUGAAAAGUCCACAUUGUCAGAUAUCGAACAGACGGAAGAUAGAACACCGAAUAUUCCAAUAGCAAGUGAAACAAUGGUUCAAUCUGUAGAAGUAGAAAAUACAAACUUAGAUAGUCUUGCCAGCACAUGUCCUAAUGCUGAUACAAUCCAUAGAAGUUUUCAUCAUAAAGGAGUACAAGUUAACAUACGCCCACACGUUCGUAGUAAAUAUGUAUCUUGCAAUAUUACAGUUCCCAUGUCUAAUGCAAGUUGUUCCCCGAUUAAGCUUCAAAGUAUUUCUCCAUCUGUAAAAAUUAUUCCAAGUACUAGCAAACAGUUAAGUACAGAUGCUUCGUCGAUGUUGGUAUCAUCUUCUACCUUACAUUGUACAACUUCGAGCGAUUUUGAGCCUUAUUCAGAUGAAGCAAAAGAGAUUGAAAAGAAUAAACGACAACAAAUGCAAUCUAAUGCACUUUCGAUUACAAAUUAUUUUAUUAGUACUAAUACUAAAAGUUAUCUCGGUAUUCUAAAUGAAUGGUACUGGAUUGUAGACCUCUUACACUCACAGACUAAGAUUCUGCCAGAUCAUAUUAAAUUAACGUUAAUGAAAAUAAAAAUAAAUGACACCUUUCAUAGAUUAGGGGAACAAUUUGGAAUAUCACAUGCUCAAGCCAGCAACAUAUUCAACUCCACUGUACCGCGUUUGGCUCACAUGUUAAAAACUCUGAUAUACUUCCCAGACCCAAUGAGUAUAAGAAAAGCUUUGCCAAUUCCAUUUCGAGCUAAUUAUGCUAAUGUACAAUCGAUAAUUGAUUGUUUUGAAAUACAGAUCCAAAAGCCAACAAAUUCUGUACAUCAAGCUCUUACUUGGUCAGAAUACAAAAAAUGCAAUACUCUAAAAUAUUUGAUAUCAUCAACACCUGAUGGGUUUAUCAAUUUUGUCUCUACGGGUUACGGAGGUAGAAUCAGUGAUACACUACUUACUGAACAAUCUGGAUUUUUAAAUGUCUUACCGGAUGGAUGUGGCGUUAUGGCUGACCGAGGAUUUAAACAAAUCCAGAGUCUUCUCAAUAAAAAAAAAUGCAUCCUUAUUCGUCCUCCCACUGUUACUGCUGGUGUAAAACCCUCUAAGGCCGAAGUUUUAGAAACUAAACGCAUUGCAAGUUUACGUAUACAUAUUGAGCGUGUGAUUAGACGAUUAAGGGAAUAUGAAAUGCUGAAACCGCAUGUAUGUAUUCAUCAUAACCUUCUGCGUCAUACAGAUUUGAUAGUACUUAUUGCAUCGGCAUUAAUUAAUUUGCAAACUCCGAUAAUAAAAACAUGAAAAUCAUAAUACGAAAGUAAAGGACAAAUUGCAUAACUGAAAGAAAAGAAACAAACAACAUUUGUGACAUCUUCAUUGUGUAAUUUUGUUUAUUCUGUAAAGAUACAUAUAAAUAUAUUGAUAUGAGAUUCUUAAACUUUUGUGUACAUUAUUUUUGGAAAAAUAAAACGUUUCCAGAAAGCUACAGCGUUUUCUAUUAUGGAAUUCAUGAAAUCCUCAUUAUAAUUUUCCCAAACAAUUGUUACUUGUCUAGAUUCUUCAAAAUUUGGAUCUGCGACGCAAAAGAGGCCUCUUCUUUUACCAGAGGCAAACAUUUGCAUAUGUAUUUGCGCUUUACAUUUAUUAUUGAUUUUUCCGGAUGGCAAAAAUUGCUGAAACGUUUUUGAGGAUGAUGGACACUUUACUUCGACAACAAAAUUGUCGCCCAAGGCAUCAGGCGAUGCUCCUAAUACUGGAAAUGAUGUGUGCUGCUUCGUAGAUUCUUGACGCUGUAAUUCUGCCAUAACGAAGCUCAUGCCAAGAGGUGUCACUCUGAGAUCUGGUACACUCUUCUGCCAUGCGACACAAAUCUUCAGACAUUGCUUUACUAGCAUAUUCCAAAAAAAUAUCCGCGCAACUAGAUCCUGUUUGACAAAAAUUCAUUAAUAAUUGAUGUAUUGACAAACACAUCAAUUUUCGGUUUUCCAAUACAAAAUUGUGUC